This 652-nucleotide ribosomal RNA is filed under the name uncultured Actinomycetes bacterium. RNAcentral's name for it is "bacterial SSU rRNA". It matches the Rfam family "Bacterial small subunit ribosomal RNA", at positions 232 to 886 of the family's 1533-position model. The record is from RNAcentral. Lineage: Bacteria; Bacillati; Actinomycetota; Actinomycetes.
CGCGGCCUAUCAGCUUGUUGGUGGGGUGAUGGCCUACCAAGGCGUUGACGGGUAGCCGGCCUGAGAGGGCGACCGGCCACACUGGGACUGAGACACGGCCCAGACUCCUACGGGAGGCAGCAGUGGGGAAUAUUGCGCAAUGGGCGGAAGCCUGACGCAGCGACGCCGCGUGGGGGAUGACGGCCUUCGGGUUGUAAACCUCUUUCAGCUCUGACGAAGCUCCUUUUUGGGGUGACGGUAGGGGCAAAAGAAGCGCCGGCUAACUACGUGCCAGCAGCCGCGGUAAGACGUAGGGCGCAAGCGUUGUCCGGAUUUAUUGGGCGUAAAGAGCUCGUAGGCGGCUUGUCGCGUCGAUCGUGAAAUUCUGCGGCUUAACUGUGGGGUUGCGGUCGAUACGGGCGGGCUGGAGUUCGGUAGGGGAGACUGGAAUUCCUGGUGUAGCGGUGAAAUGCGCAGAUAUCAGGAGGAACACCGGUGGCGAAGGCGGGUCUCUGGGCCGAUACUGACGCUGAGGAGCGAAAGCGUGGGGAGCGAACAGGAUUAGAUACCCUGGUAGUCCAUGCUGUAAACGUUGGGCGCUAGGUGUGGGGACCCUUCCCGGGUUUCUGUGCCGUAGCUAACGCAUUAAGCGCCCCGCCAUGGGGAGUACGGA